Molecule: long non-coding RNA, 421 nt
Organism: Drosophila erecta
Lineage: Eukaryota; Metazoa; Arthropoda; Insecta; Diptera; Drosophilidae
Exons: 2
Source: RefSeq, a predicted model, not a curated record
ACGCACCAUUGGCACACGCACAUGCGAGCAAGCACACAAACGCAAAGAAGCCACACGCACAGGCGUUAAUGCGAUAGCCAAGUGAGUCAGAAAGAGAUGGUCGCCAGCUGAGGGAGUGCGAGGAGAAACACUAAGAAAGAUGAGCUACAGAACGGCGGAAGCACGCGGAAGCUAGGCGAAUGUACAACCACAAAAUUGGGUCAACGGCCCAGUUCAAAGUCGGUGCCCAGCAACGUGCACGCAGAGAAAAUGGGUAGCCUUUGAUAGCACCACGAAAUAAAUAAACUACUCAGAAAUCUGACCAACCAAUAUAAACUCGACCAAGACGUGCAAAAAUCAGUCAUGAAAUUGGUGACGAUAAAAGUUAAAAUGAAAUGUAUCUUAUGGAAUACUAUAUUAUACUAAUAUUAUUAUACUAUAA